This 420-nucleotide ribosomal RNA is filed under the name Fusobacteriota bacterium. Its description in RNAcentral is "Fusobacteria bacterium partial 16S ribosomal RNA". It matches the Rfam family "Bacterial small subunit ribosomal RNA", at positions 355 to 776 of the family's 1533-position model. Lineage: Bacteria; Fusobacteriati; Fusobacteriota. The record is from RNAcentral.
UGGGGGAUAUUGCACAAUGGGCGAAAGCCUGAUGCAGCGACGCCGCGUGGGGGAUGAAGGCCUUCGGGUUGUAAACUUCUUUUGCUCUGAACAAGGCAUGCCUUUGGGGUGUGUUGAGUGUAGGGGUUGAUUAGCGCCGGCUAACUACGUGCCAGCAGCCGCGGUAAUACGUAGGGCGCGAGCGUUGUCCGGAAUUAUUGGGCGUAAAGGGCUUGUAGGUGGCUGGUUGCGUCUGUCGUGAAAGCUCAUGGCUUAACUGUGGGUUUGCGGUGGGUACGGGCUGGCUUGAGUGCAGUAGGGGAGGCUGGGAUUCCUGGUGUAGCGGUGGAAUGCGCAGAUAUCAGGAGGAAUACCGGUGGCGAAGGCGGGUCUCUGGGCUGUUACUGACGCUGAGGGGCGAAAGCGUGGGGAGCGAACAGG